GCACCCUUGUUACCAGUUGCUACCAUUUAGUUGAGCACUCUGGUGAGACCGCCUCGGAUAACGGGGAGGAAGGCGGGGAUGACGUCAAGUCCUCAUGGCCUUUAUGUCCAGGGCUACACACGUGCUACAAUGGCCGGUACAAACCGUUGCAACCCCGCGAGGGUGAGCUAAUCGGAUAAAGCCGGCCUCAGUUCGGAUUGGAGUCUGCAACUCGACUCCAUGAAGCUGGAAUCGCUAGUAAUCGCGGAUCAGCAUGCCGCGGUGAAUACGUUCCCGGGCCUUGUACACACCGCCCGU
RNAcentral lists this ribosomal RNA (297 nucleotides) under uncultured Acidobacteriota bacterium. RNAcentral's name for it is "uncultured Acidobacteria bacterium partial 16S ribosomal RNA". It matches the Rfam family "Bacterial small subunit ribosomal RNA", at positions 1098 to 1397 of the family's 1533-position model. Lineage: Bacteria; Pseudomonadati; Acidobacteriota. The record is from RNAcentral.